GGGCGGAGCUCCAGGAGGUGGGCUGAGGGGGCCGGGCUCGGGUCUGGACAAAAGCCGGGAAGAGGAAAAGCCCUGCCUGGCUGGCCAGAUUCUGGGUUUCUGCCGAGGCCCCUUGAGAAGCCGGAACAGUUGGGCUCCAGCCGGGAUUGCCAAAGUGGACACUGAGUGACUGUGUGCUCCCGGGUCAUCGCCAACGUACCUUCCCCGCAGGAGAUAAGCUGAGUCUGCAAGAUUGAGAGGAGUUGGGGGUGAUUAGAAAUUGUUAAGAGGUUUAUUGAAGUCAAAAUGUCUCAAAAAAUCCAAGGCGGGUCUGUGGUAGAGAUGCAAGGAGAUGAAAUGACACGAAUCAUUUGGGAGUUGAUUAAAGAGAAACUCAUUUUUCCCUACGUGGAACUGGACCUGCACAGCUACGAUUUAGGCAUAGAGAACCGCGAUGCCACCAAUGACCAGGUCACCAAGGACGCUGCAGAAGCUAUAAAGAAGUACAAUGUUGGUGUCAAGUGUGCUACCAUCACCCCCGAUGAGAAGAGAGUGGAGGAGUUCAAGUUGAAACAAAUGUGGAAAUCUCCAAAUGGCACCAUCCGAAAUAUCCUGGGUGGCACUGUCUUCAGGGAAGCUAUCAUCUGCAAAAAUAUACCCCAGCUUGUGAGCGGAUGGGUAAAACCCAUUAUCAUAGGUCGCCAUGCUUAUGGGGAUCAAUAUAGAGCAACUGAUUUUGUUGUGCCGGGGCCCGGAAAAGUAGAGAUAUCCUACACACCAAGCGAUGGAUCCCCCAAAACAGUAUACCUAGUACAUAACUUCACAGAGAGUGGUGGUGUUGCCAUGGGGAUGUACAAUCAAGAUAAGUCGAUCGAAGAUUUUGCACACAGUUCUUUCCAGAUGGCUUUGUCUAAGAAUUGGCCUUUGUAUCUGAGCACCAAAAACACUAUUCUGAAGAAGUACGAUGGACGUUUUAAAGACAUCUUUCAGGAGAUAUAUGACAAGCAGUACAGUUGAAGCUCAGAAUAUCUGGUAUGAGCACAGGCUCAUUGAUGACAUGGUGGCCCAAGCUAUGAAAUCAGAGGGGGGCUUCAUUUGGGCCUGUAAGAACUAUGAUGGGGACGUGCAGUCGGACUCCGUGGCCCAAGGUUACGGCUCUCUCGGCAUGAUGACCAGUGUGCUGGUUUGUCCAGAUGGCAAGACAGUAGAAGCAGAGGCUGCCCACGGGACCGUAACCCGUCACUACCGAAUGUACCAGAAAGGACAGGAGACAUCCACCAAUCCCAUUGCUUCCAUUUUUGCCUGGACCAGAGGCUUAGCCCACAGAGCUAAGCUUGAUAACAAUAAAGAGCUCGGCUUUUUUGCAAAGGCUUUGGAAGAAGUCUGUAUUGAGACCAUUGAGGCUGGCUUCAUGACCAAGGACUUAGCUGCAUGUAUUAAAGGUUUACCCAACGUGCAACGUUCUGACUACUUGAAUACAUUCGAGUUCAUGGAUAAACUUGGAGAGAACCUGCAGUUAAAACUAGCCCAGGCCAAACUUUAAGGUCAUUUCUUGUCUUCGGAGGAUGUUUUUUUUUCUGGUAACUAGGGUAUACUGGUUUACAUUUUU
Cervus elaphus (red deer) is the source of this 1588-nucleotide RNA transcript. It is a transcript of the gene named isocitrate dehydrogenase [NADP] cytoplasmic-like, with no coding region annotated. The transcript has a single exon. Lineage: Eukaryota; Metazoa; Chordata; Mammalia; Artiodactyla; Cervidae. The record is from RefSeq and is a predicted model, not a curated record.